CGGCGCACGGGUGAGUAACACGUAGGUAACCUACCUCCGAGUUCGGGAUAACCUGUCGAAAGAUAGGCUAAUACCGGAUAAGACCACGAUGGCUUCGGCCACUGCGGUCAAAGAUGGCCUCUAUUUAUACGCUAUCGCUUGGGGAUGGGCCUGCGCACCAUUAGCUAGUUGGUGAGGUAACGGCUCACCAAGGCUACGAUGGUUAGUUGGUCUGAGAGGAUGACCAGCCACACUGGGACUGAGACACGGCCCAGACUCCUACGGGAGGCAGCAGUGGGGAAUAUUGCGCAAUGGGGGAAACCCUGACGCAGCGACGCCGCGUGGGUGAUGAAGGCCUUCGGGUCGUAAAGCCCUGUCGGAGGGGAAGAAGGACUCUCGUGCAAAUAGUUCGAGGGUUUGACGGUACCCUUAGAGGAAGCACCGGCUAACUCCGUGCCAGCAGCCGCGGUAAUACGGAGGGUGCAAGCGUUGCUCGGAAUUACUGGGCGUAAAGGGCGUGUAGGCGGUUUCGUAUGUCUGGCGUGAAAGCCCCGGGCUCACCUCGGGAAGUGCGUCGGAAACUGUGAGACUAGAGUCCCGGAGAGGGAGGUGGAAUUCCAGGUGUAGCGGUGAAAUGUGUAGAUAUCUGGAAGAACACCGGUGGCGAAAGCGGCCUCCUGGACGGUGACUGACGCUGAGACGCGAGAGCGUGGGGAGCAAAC
RNAcentral lists this ribosomal RNA (701 nucleotides) under uncultured bacterium. RNAcentral describes it as "bacterial SSU rRNA". It matches the Rfam family "Bacterial small subunit ribosomal RNA", at positions 96 to 773 of the family's 1533-position model. The record is from RNAcentral.